Molecule: ribosomal RNA, 467 nt
Filed under: Theileria sp.
Lineage: Eukaryota; Apicomplexa; Aconoidasida; Piroplasmida; Theileriidae
Also listed under: 1 other name
Description: SSU rRNA
Rfam family: Eukaryotic small subunit ribosomal RNA
Source: RNAcentral
GAAUUUAAACCUCUUCCAGAGUAUCAAUUGGAGGGCAAGUCUGGUGCCAGCAGCCGCGGUAAUUCCAGCUCCAAUAGCGUAUAUUAAAAUUGUUGCAGUUAAAAAGCUCGUAGUUGAAUUUCUGCUGCAUUGCAUUUUCUCCUAUACGAGUUUUUGCAUUGUGGCUUAUUUCGGUUAUAAAAUUAAUUUUAUUUCCGGAUGUUUACUUUGAGAAAAUUAGAGUGCUCAAAGCAGGCUUUUGCCUUGAAUAGUUUAGCAUGGAAUAAUAAAGUAGGACUUUGGUUCUAUUUUGUUGGUUUUAGGUACCAAAGUAAUGGUUAAUAGGAACAGUUGGGGGCAUUCGUAUUUAACUGUCAGAGGUGAAAUUCUUAGAUUUGUUAAAGACGAACUACUGCGAAAGCAUUUGCCAAGGAUGUUUUCAUUAAUCAAGAACGAAAGUUAGGGGAUCGAAGACGAUCAGAUACCGU